This 391-nucleotide ribosomal RNA is filed under the name uncultured bacterium. RNAcentral describes it as "bacterial SSU rRNA". It matches the Rfam family "Bacterial small subunit ribosomal RNA", at positions 28 to 415 of the family's 1533-position model. The record is from RNAcentral.
GACGAACGCUGGCGGCGUGCUUAACACAUGCAAGUCGAACGAGAUCCAUGGAGUAGCAAUACUCCGGAAGAUCUAGUGGCGAACGGGUGAGUAACACGUGAGCAACCUGCCCCAAAGACUGGGAUAACCCCGGGAAACCGGAGCUAAUACCGGAUGUCCUCGUCGGAUCGCAUGGUCUGAUGAGGAAAUGAAUUUCGCUUUGGGAGGGGCUCGCGGGAUAUCAGCUGUUGGUGGGGUAACGGCCUACCAAGGCUUCGACGUCUAGCUGGUCUGAGAGGACGAUCAGCCACACUGGGACUGAGACACGGCCCAGACUCCUACGGGAGGCAGCAGUGGGAAUCUUGCCCAAUGGGGAAACCCUGAGCAGCAACGCCGCGUGCGGGAUGACGGC